Non-coding RNA from Camellia sinensis, 189 nucleotides. The record is from RefSeq and is a predicted model, not a curated record. NCBI's taxonomy places the organism in Eukaryota, Viridiplantae, Streptophyta, Magnoliopsida, Ericales, Theaceae.
AUUUGUGAAAAUGUUGAGCCAUCAGAACUUGAGGAAGCUUCCUUGAAAAGUAGUUUAAUUCAGCAGAUUGUUGUUAUUGGCCAGGACCAACGUCGUCUUGGAGCUAUAAUUGUUCCAAACAAAGAAGAGAUUUUAGUGACCGCAAAGAAGUUGUUGAUUGUAGGGGCGGAUGCCUCUGAACUUAGUGAG